UGAGUUAAAAAGCACACUAUAAAAAAAAAAAAUGUCUGAAGUUUUUUUUUUAAAAUAGUGCUAAUUAUCUCC
This is a non-coding RNA of Pangasianodon gigas (Mekong giant catfish), 72 nucleotides long. The record is from the annotation of a GenBank genome assembly. NCBI's taxonomy places the organism in Eukaryota, Metazoa, Chordata, Actinopteri, Siluriformes, Pangasiidae.